GAUGAAGAACGUAGCGAAAUGCGAUACGUAAUGUGAAUUGCAAAUUCAGUGAAUCAUCGAGUCUUUGAACGCACAUUGCGCCCCCUGGUAUUCCGGGGGGCAUGCCUGUCCAAGCGUCAUUGCUGCCCUCAAGCACGGCUUGUGUGUUGGGCCCCGUCCUCCGAUCCCGGGGACGGGCCCGAAAGGCAGCGGCGGCACCGCGUCCGGUCCUCGAGCGUAUGGGGCUUUGUCACCCGCUCUGUAGGCCCGGCCGGCGCUUGCCGAUCAACCCAAAUUUUUUAUCCAGGUUGACCUCGGAUCAGGUAGGGAUACCCGCUGAACUUAAGCAUAUCAAUAAGCGGAGGA
This 345-nucleotide unclassified non-coding RNA is filed under the name soil metagenome. Its description in RNAcentral is "partial contains 5.8S ribosomal RNA, internal transcribed spacer 2, and large subunit ribosomal RNA". The stretch from base 1 to 119 matches the Rfam family "5.8S ribosomal RNA", at positions 35 to 154 of the family's 154-position model. The record is from RNAcentral.